AUAGCAUGCAAAACGUGAUUUUCGCUGAGAUGAACAUAUAUGUUCAUGACGCGAGUAAUUUUCACUUUUCACUGAUCCAAAGGAGGUCACGUGGGAUUGCUUGGCGUUUGCGAAAUUAACAGCAAUGAAAAUGGCGAAACGAAACUUGUGAAUCGUGCAUUUGCUCUUCAUGGUAGCUGCCAGAAAAUCGAAUCAAGCUUAUGGGACACUGGAUUACAGGUUGCUGCCACUACUCCAUGUGCCCGCAAUUGUCUUGCGUGUAUGAUUACACUAACGACGUCGCCCACCACGGCGGAAGUGUUUUGCGUACACGCGUUUCAGCAUGAAGCCUGCAGGUGGACGUAAAUUGUAGAAGGCAGCUAGUGGGGGAGAAGAUCAUGGUCAUAGGUCAUAUGGCUCCUGGAGCUCCCAGUGGGCUCCCUUGUGAAGUACUUUUCAGAACACACACACAGUUCGCUCACAGAACCAACGAGUAGGAUGUUACUUGAAUACUGAGAGAAAAUGGCGUAACACAUACAAAUAUCGUGUGACACAUAUGACAAUAAAAACAUUUUUCACGAGG
Molecule: long non-coding RNA, 562 nt
Organism: Ornithodoros turicata
Lineage: Eukaryota; Metazoa; Arthropoda; Arachnida; Ixodida; Argasidae
Exons: 3
Source: RefSeq, a predicted model, not a curated record